Molecule: transfer RNA, 74 nt
Filed under: Streptomyces sp. DJ
Lineage: Bacteria; Bacillati; Actinomycetota; Actinomycetes; Kitasatosporales; Streptomycetaceae
Also listed under: 3 other names
Rfam family: tRNA
About the family: Transfer RNA (tRNA) molecules are approximately 80 nucleotides in length. Their secondary structure includes four short double-helical elements and three loops (D, anti-codon, and T loops).
Source: Rfam by way of RNAcentral
GGGCCUGUACCCCAGUGGCUAGAGGGAACCGUUUUAGGGGCGGUGUGUCGCGGGUUCGAAUCCCGCCAGGCCUA